UGACGUCCAGUAUAUAAAUAUAUACAACAUAGAACUUUGUUCAGCUUGUUAAUUUUUCAUCAUGGUGAUAAAUAAAAUAAUGUAGUCAUUUGGUAUGUGAUAAAUUUGCUCCGUUAACUCAAAUCAAUUACUCAUCAAACAUGUUUGUUCGCGCACUUAAUUGCGGCUGUCAAAUAUAGCGUGUUCUUAUAUGUAAUGUCUUAUUACAAUAACGAAAUCAAACAUCAAAACCAUCCAAGAUUUUUUUAUCAAAUUCACACAAAGGAACAUAAAUCUGCUGAUUUAGAUGUUUAUUGUAAUUUAAACCGAUUUUAAUACCGUGGGAAACAUAUCUAAAUAUGUAUAGAUGAAUGAUAUAAGAGACGUAUUUUUAGGUUUGUUUUCCGAAAAUCAUAAAAAGGUUUGUUUUCCGAAAAUCAUAAAACAGACAGUACAUAAACCACUUUAUGCAGAUCAUACGGACAUUAGCAAUAAACAUAUUCAAAUAGGGUUGAUCGUUUUUGUUGUUACAUUGUGUGUUCGAUCACAUUAAGGCUUGACUACUAUAUAAAUCCAUAUUUAUCAUUGAUGAAGAACUGAACAUUUUGUAUAAGAUUACAAGAUAACAAAAUGGCAGGCGAUGGCUUCCGUGAUAACCGAGGACGUUUUCUACCGAAUCAUAUGAACGCUAACGAUGCAUUACAACGUGACGUUGGUGAUAGGUAUCAAGUCUCAGUUGAUUAUUUGGGCAAACCUGAAAAAGCUAUAGCGCAGAUUAAAGAACCUAAUCCGCAUCAGUACGGUCCUGGGGUGAGCUCAGAUAGAUAUCCGAAGAAUGGAAACCCGCCUAAUCUUGUCACAGUGAACAAAAAGUAUAAAAAAUGAUACAUACUACUUAGUAACGCAUCUUAAAGUAAUAUACAGUUUAUUGAACAUAAGUUUUAUCUGACAUUAGGAAAGUACUUGAGUUUGGAAAGCGAAAAUUCUUUAUCAUUGUUCCUGAUUUAGUGUUUAUUGUUAAUCUAUAUACUGUGUUACUUUCAUGAUAAAUUAAUUUUUAGUUUUAAGUAUUACUAUAAAAUCAUAAUUAUUUUUUUUUUUGAUACCGAUGAUUAGUAUUCAAAAUGUUAUUAAUAAAUGUUUAACAUUUUAGCAAUUUGUGUCAUAGACUUGCACUUUUUCAUUAUCCCUCAUUUACACACUCAAUCAAACAGAGUCUGCAAUUUUUAUGUAAUUUUGCUGUUUUUAAUGAUUCUGAGGAACCACUUUGUUCCAAAUAUCCCAUAUUCAUUCUGUAGAAAUUUCAGAUAGUAAUAGUACGUAUCAUUUAUCUAUUCAUCUCAAAUUACAUGUUGACGUAAAAAACGCUGGUAAAGCACAGCAUACCUCUAUCAAAUUUGUAUGGAAAUUAUUAUUUCAGCCUGAUUAAGUUUGUAAAGGUCCAUACUACAACAUUCUGUCUAUUAGAAGAUUUACCAGCCCGCUCCCCUUAUUGAAUCACAUUCAUUUAUCAUUUGAAAACGAGUAUGUCUAAUUUAUAUAUUUUCUUAUAAAGAAAUGAUUUAAUAUACAAAAAGCAACAAUAAAAUAAAGAUAAUAAAAAAUAAAUAUAAUAAACAAAACUUAA
This is a long non-coding RNA of Ruditapes philippinarum (Manila clam), 1606 nucleotides long. RefSeq lists it as uncharacterized. The record is from RefSeq and is a predicted model, not a curated record. NCBI's taxonomy places the organism in Eukaryota, Metazoa, Mollusca, Bivalvia, Venerida, Veneridae. The transcript is spliced from 2 exons.